UGUGCAUUUUUUUCCUUUAACGUGACAACAGUCCUUACAAAUAUGUCUUUGCUUUUUACAAACAAAAUAAGUUUCUUUGAACUUCUUUUUGCCGACACCACUCAAAUUAAUUCUGGUUUUUUCCCCGCAUGAAGAAUGUUUAGGAAUUGGGUUUGCCAUUCAGAUCACAAAGAUUACUAUGUUAACAAGUAUAUCAAAAUUAUUAUGAUUGAUGAUUUCUAAUUAAUUUUCUAUAUCAUAUAUAUUCAGAACCUCUCUUUAAUUUUAUAUAUAAAAAAGCUAUAUAAUUAUAAUUCUUUUAGUUUUAGUUUUUGUUUGUUAGUUAUGAACAAGAAUACAAUUCUUUUAGUUUGUUUGCAAAUCUGGAAAAGAAUCAAGUCAUCUGUCAAGCUCUGUUCAAUGUGGUCCGACAUUUCUCACCUCUCCCCACCUGAGCUCUCUCUCUUUCCCUCCUCCGCUCUCGGAAACCGCCGCCGAUACCAAUAAGGCUUCAAAUCUUCACCAGGUGCUUCAUUUUCUAUUUUGUUUUUUUCUUUAAAAAAAAGAUUCAUAUUUGUGUUUUCAUUUAUUUAAUUGAAAUUACUAUCCAGAAAGAGAAAUUCGAUUUUAAUAAGUAAAUUAAAAAGAUAUAUAAUCGAACCCGAUGAAAUCGCUGCUCGUGAACGCAACUCGAAAAAAGGCGCAAUCAGCCGAUUCUACUGUGGGUGGAGAAUUUAGUAUGGUCAGGACUAUUGUGUUGUCUAUUCAAAGAAAGAUGUGCCUGUAAAUUUGUUAAGUUGAUUCUUAUGAGUCUGCUCUUUAGAGUUGAUGAUAACAUGAAAUAUUCAUUGUUAAUGCUCGUUGUUUUCUUCUUCUCUUUCCUAGAUUAAAACAUCCUAGACAAUCUCUUUGGAUGUUUCUGGCCUCGUCAUCUUCUAUUUGUGUUGUGAUAUUUAGUCUGCUGAUAUUCAUUGGGGAUUGAAAGGCCUCGUUUUACGACUUUGUUUUGUCUUCUUCUUAUUUCUUUAUUCUUUUGGGGAUGUGGUAUUUUCCUCUUUCUAUUUACACUAUUUGCUCCCUACAAUAUUUAUUCUUUCAGAGAAGUAAAUAUAUGCCUAAAUAACAAGAACAGGAGGGGAAGGGGAGUGGGGUUUGACAGUAAGUAUUUGCUUAGAAGGGAAUGCUUCUUUGGUUUAGAAGCACCAUGAAGAUUCUUUGCUUUGAAUGGCCGCAUACCCAGGAUCCUAGCACCUUGGCCUGAAUGGUUGUGUAUAUUUGUUAUGCAUCCAUAUUUGGCUGAAUUCUUUAAUAAAGUACAUGAUAUUAGACGGAAGUUCUUUCUAAAUCUAUUCAAGUCCGAAUAAACUGAUAUUCCAUUUUUCAUGUUCUUGAUGUGCUUUUGCUCUUCUUGUCGUUCCUGACUUUCUUUUUAGGGUCUAUUCUAACAUGCAAUAUGAUUUUUUUUCUUUCUUUUUGGUUGGCUCACUGCGGAGAACCUGUCAUGGACACGGGUGAUUGGAGAAUUCAAUUGCGGCCUGACUCACGGAAAAGAAUAGUCGACAAAAUAAUGGAGACAAUAAAGAGGCAUCUUUUGAUUUCUGGUCAGGAGGGAUUAUAAGAACUCAAGAAAUUUGCCAUACGUUUUGAGGAAAAGAUUCAUACUACCGCCACCAAUCAGUAUGAUUAUCUGCGUAAAAUAUCUCUGGAGAUGCUUUCAAUGGAGAUCAGGUCUCAAAACACUAUGCCCACUGCCCCUAUGGAUCCAGCAGCAUCCCAUAGUAUGCCCCCUCAAGUUCAGAAUCAAGGGCUGUUUCUCCCUCUCCUAUCGUCCACAGAUCAGUCUCAAGCACGUCAGCAGUUGGUAUCACAGAACAUGCAGAGUAUCCCCGGUGUUUCACAGAACUCAGUGGAGAAUUCAAUGGGACAAGGGAUUCCCUCCACUAUGUUUGCCAAUUCUCAGAGACAAAUGCCAGAUCAAAGUUAUGAAGGAGACUUAUUUCCCUGAAAUAAAUGAAAUGUACCAGAGAAUUGCUGCCAGGUUACAGCAGCUUGACUCUCAUCCGCAACAACCGAAGUCAGAACAGCUUGAAAAGCUGGAAGUAUUCAAGGCCAUGUUGGAGCACUUGAUAACAUUCUUACAGGUCUCUAAAAGCAGAUUGUAAGUUUCCUAAACCCAAGCAGAUUCAGGAGGCCUCUUCCUAAUCUACAGCUAGGACAACUUCCCCAGCCUCCAGUUCCUCAGUUGCAGUCCCAUGAAAAUCAACUGAAUCCCCAGUUGCAAUCAAUGAAUGUGCACUGUUCUAUACCAACGAUGCAGCAGAACAAUAUGUCAAGCUUGCAGCAUGGUUCUCUUUCAUCUUUAUCUGGGGUUUCUAUGUCACAGCCGAACACGAUGAUGCGGGAUGAGAGGUUUUAAGAAAAGAAAAGGAGGAAGAGAGAAUGAUGAGGAUGUUGUAGCAAAAAUUUCACAGGAUUUACUACAAAUCCAAGCCAAAAUAUUUGACUAGAUUACUGUCUUACGAUCUUCUUAAAACAUGGGUAAACAUGGGUUUGAGGUUGUCAUGUUGAAUCAUCUUUCUACCGUCCGGGACAUCAACAUAACCUUAAUGACUACCAUUUAUGUUUGCGCAAUCAAACAUCAGCUUUGACAAUCGCUCUUUCUCGACUUGGCGAAAACGUUUUUCCUCUUUCAUUGUCCCUGAUGUAAUGAGAUGGUAAAUGUAGACAAUUUUCUCUUAACCUAGCCUUCAUGGCUUGCUUUUCUA
Long non-coding RNA from Populus nigra (black poplar), 2744 nucleotides. RefSeq lists it as uncharacterized. Lineage: Eukaryota; Viridiplantae; Streptophyta; Magnoliopsida; Malpighiales; Salicaceae. The record is from RefSeq and is a predicted model, not a curated record. The transcript has 6 exons.